UGGGGAAUAUUGGACAAUGGGGGCAACCCUGAUCCAGCAAUGCCGCGUGUGUGAAGAAGGCCUUCGGGUUGUAAAGCACUUUCAGCAGGGAGGAAGAGAUGACGGUUAAUACCCGUUGUUGUGACGUUACCUGCAGAAGAAGCACCGGCUAACUCCGUGCCAGCAGCCGCGGUAAUACGGAGGGUGCGAGCGUUAUUCGGAAUUACUGGGCGUAAAGCGCACGCAGGCGGCUAUUUAAGUCAGAUGUGAAAGCCCCGGGCUUAACCUGGGAAUUGCAUUUGAAACUGGGUAGCUAGAGUAUGUUAGAGGAAGGCGGAAUUUCCAGUGUAGCAGUGAAAUGCGUAGAUAUUGGAAGGAACACCGAUGGCGAAGGCAGCCUUCUGGGGCAAUACUGACGCUCAUGUGCGAAAGCGUGGGUAGCAAACA
RNAcentral lists this ribosomal RNA (426 nucleotides) under uncultured Gammaproteobacteria bacterium. Its description in RNAcentral is "bacterial SSU rRNA". It matches the Rfam family "Bacterial small subunit ribosomal RNA", at positions 355 to 774 of the family's 1533-position model. Lineage: Bacteria; Pseudomonadati; Pseudomonadota; Gammaproteobacteria. The record is from RNAcentral.